AUACGUAGGUGGCAAGCGUUGUCCGGAUUUAUUGGGCGUAAAGCGAGCGCAGGCGGAAUGAUAAGUCUGAUGUGAAAGCCCACGGCUCAACCGUGGAACUGCAUCGGAAACUGUCAUUCUUGAGUGCAGAAGAGGAGAGUGGAACUCCAUGUGUAGCGGUGGAAUGCGUAGAUAUAUGGAAGAGCACCAGUGGCGAAGGCGGCUCUCUGGUCUGCAACUGACGCUGAGGCUCGAAAGCAUGGGUAGC
This 247-nucleotide ribosomal RNA is filed under the name uncultured bacterium. RNAcentral describes it as "partial 16S ribosomal RNA". It matches the Rfam family "Bacterial small subunit ribosomal RNA", at positions 523 to 769 of the family's 1533-position model. The record is from RNAcentral.